CCUGAAAUGAGUUCCUCCCCCUUACUUCCACCAGUAAUUGCAACUUCAUUCAGUUUAUCUUCCGCAAAACAGUUUUCUUGUGGAAAUCCAGCCCUUUCUUCCACUAAGGUAGAAUGCUGAUUUUUUAGUUUGUCAUCAUAUGAAAUGCUUUGGCUACAGUCACUUUUGCCUGUAGUUGGGAGUUUUAGCUGCAAUUCAUCGCCCAAAGUCAUACGACCAGUAACCUCAUUAUUC
Molecule: unclassified non-coding RNA, 234 nt
Filed under: Hevea brasiliensis (rubber tree)
Lineage: Eukaryota; Viridiplantae; Streptophyta; Magnoliopsida; Malpighiales; Euphorbiaceae
Source: RNAcentral